AAAAAAAACAAAAAACCAUGACUUUGUAAAUGACUUUCUGGUGAUUGUAAUCAGUAUUCUCUUGCUUUGCAGUUGUUUCAAUAACUAAUACACAGCUGUAUUGAUUGCGAAGUUUAAGCAGGCAUAAUUGCCUUCUAGGUUAAUGAAUUGUACCCACAGUGAGUUUGUGAGUGUGUGGUAGGUGUUUGGAAUGAGUCUGAGUCAGCGGGCAGCUCACAGUCAAGCUGGUAAUUUAUUGCACAAAACCAGGAAAGCCAAAGGAACAGAAGAAUUCUUAAAUACGCUAAGGGAUCUCAGUAUGCGUAUGCAAAGAAAAACAUUUGAAAUUGAAAACCACCACCUGGACCACUUCACAAGCAACCCACUGUUAAAUGAAUCAUAUAUUCAAAAUUCUACUACAAAAUUGUUGUGCAGUGUUUUGACACACAAUGCUGUUAAUGUUAAAAAUUCCUGAAGAUUUAAAGGAGAGUUUCUCUCUCUAUAUAUAUAUGAAUAAAAUACUCUUGGCAUACUACUGCA
RNAcentral lists this long non-coding RNA (519 nucleotides) under Anser brachyrhynchus (Pink-footed goose). Its description in RNAcentral is "lncRNA (ENSABRG00000001907.1)". Lineage: Eukaryota; Metazoa; Chordata; Aves; Anseriformes; Anatidae. The record is from RNAcentral.